UGGUUCUGGCAUCGAUGAAGAACGCAGCGAAAUGCGAUAAGUAAUGUGAAUUGCAGAAUUCAGUGAAUCAUCGAAUCUUUGAACGCACAUUGCGCCCUCUGGUAUUCCGGAGGGCAUGCCUGUUCGAGCGUCAUUACAACCCUCAAGCUCUGCUUGGUCUUGGGCGUCACCGGUAACGGUGUGCCCUAAAAUCAGUGGCGGCGCCGUCUGGCUCUAAGCGUAGUACAACUCUCGCUAUAGGUGCCCGGCGGAUGCUGGCCAGCAACCCCCAUUCUAUCAGGUUGACCUCGGAUCAGGUAGGGAUACCCGCUGA
RNAcentral lists this unclassified non-coding RNA (313 nucleotides) under uncultured fungus. RNAcentral describes it as "partial contains 5.8S ribosomal RNA and internal transcribed spacer 2". The stretch from base 1 to 133 matches the Rfam family "5.8S ribosomal RNA", at positions 22 to 154 of the family's 154-position model. The record is from RNAcentral. Lineage: Eukaryota; Fungi.